Molecule: ribosomal RNA, 429 nt
Filed under: bacterium
Lineage: Bacteria
Description: partial 16S ribosomal RNA
Rfam family: Bacterial small subunit ribosomal RNA
Source: RNAcentral
UAGGGAAUCUUCGGCAAUGGGGGCAACCCUGACCGAGCAACGCCGCGUGAGUGAAGAAGGUUUUCGGAUCGUAAAGCUCUGUUGUAAGUCAAGAACGGGUGUGAGAGUGGAAAGUUCACACUGUGACGGUAGCUUACCAGAAAGGGACGGCUAACUACGUGCCAGCAGCCGCGGUAAUACGUAGGUCCCGAGCGUUGUCCGGAUUUAUUGGGCGUAAAGCGAGCGCAGGCGGGUUGAUAAGUCUGAAGUUAAAGGCUGUGGCUCAACCAUAGUUCGCUUUGGAAACUGUCAAACUUGAGUGCAGAAGGGGAGAGUGGAAUUCCAUGUGUAGCGGUGAAAUGCGUAGAUAUAUGGAGGAACACCGGUGGCGAAAGCGGCUCUCUGGUCUGUAACUGACGCUGAGGCUCGAAAGCGUGGGGAGCGAACAGG